UCUGAACUGCAGAAUAAUUUAAGAUUAAAAUCCCAGGUAGCAAAGAAGAUGAGAGAUUAUUUACAGGACAAAGAGGGAUUUGUUGAAAUUACCACACCAACUCUUUCUGUCAACACACCUGGUAAAUGUGCUGCCAUCAAGGUUCAUAUGACUCUCCCAGUUGCAACAUCCUCAUGCCUCCUUCAGAAUGCAGGCACUGUACAUCCUUCCUCCAGAUCUCGUAUAUAGCUAACUGGUUUCCCUUCAGUCCAUUUCAACAGCACAAGUCAUAUAAACCACUUCUCUCCUCUUACUCUUAUCUAGCAAGCUUAUUUAAGCCUGUUGGAUGUUCAAGCCUCUAGCAGACAAAACCUCCUUUAGCCCUCCCCCUGUUCCCUUCAACCCUUCCUUCCCUCCCAAAUUUAUAUACUGUACUCUCCUUAUUGUCCUAUCCUGCUCAGCCCUAAUCUAAACUAACCACCUCAACAACUCCUCAGACCUUUUAAUUAUCACUUUUUUAUUGUAUUAAGAGUACAUUUAAUUUAAAGUGGUCAUAAGUAUUUUGCAACAAACUAGUUAAAUAAUAAAGUGCAAUUCUGUACAUUGCUAAUUCAUUCAGGUGAAAGAAUUUACUAUAGUUUCUCAGUGUACAUUGAAAUACAGGUGUAAUUACCUAUUGUUAGCUAUCCAUUUGUAGCUACAGAAACCAAGCUAUGUUCAUGGUAUCUCAUUUUCAGUAAUUAAUUCGUCACAUACAUAUGAUGUCCAUAUUAUGCAUAGUGUUUUGGCCAGGGUUAAAUCUGCAGUUUUUCAUUGAGAAUAUUGUGUAAACAAGAGAGUAAGCAUUAUUGUACAGAAAAUUUAAUAACAAGUGUAAAAUAAAAUAUCUUUAUGAUAACACUGUAUAUGAUAGUGAGGUUUGGGCAUCAGAAUUCAAAUGUGAUUUUUACAUUGAAUGUUAAAACUUAUUGGAAGCAUGUAAUAUUUUUAUUUUUAACACCCUGGCUAUCUCCCACUGAGGCAGGGUGACCUAAAAAAGAAUAAACAAAAGUUUUUCUUUUUCCAUUUAGUAAUUUGUACAGGAGAAGGGGCUACUAGCCCCUUGUUCCUGACAUUUUAGUCACCGUUUACGACAUGCAUGGCUUACAGAGGAAGGAUUCUUUUCCAUUUCCCCCUGGAGAAGCAUGUUAUAGUUGCAUAUAAUGUAUUUAGUUGCAAGAAAAUGUAAAACAAGGAAUUUAAAGUAAGCAUGGAAAAAAGCAAGGU
Molecule: non-coding RNA, 1245 nt
Organism: Cherax quadricarinatus
Lineage: Eukaryota; Metazoa; Arthropoda; Malacostraca; Decapoda; Parastacidae
Source: RefSeq, a predicted model, not a curated record